Molecule: ribosomal RNA, 322 nt
Filed under: uncultured Chloroflexota bacterium
Lineage: Bacteria; Bacillati; Chloroflexota
Description: bacterial SSU rRNA
Rfam family: Bacterial small subunit ribosomal RNA
Source: RNAcentral
GAUGAACGCUGGCGGCGUGCUUAAUACAUGCAAGUCGAACGGAGGAUGUAGCGAUAUGUCCUCAGUGGCGAACGGGUGAGUAACGCGUUGGUGACCUGCCCCGAAGAGAGGGAUAACAGUUCGAAAGGACUGCUAAUACCGCAUGAGGUCGUUGAGGCUAGAGGCUCGAUGACGAAAGGAGAAAUCCGCUUUGGGAGGGGCCUGCGUCCCAUCAGCUAGUUGGUAAGGUAAAGGCUUACCAAGGCGACGACGGGUAGGGGACCUGAGAGGGUGGCCCCCCACACUGGCACUGAAACACGGGCCAGACUCCUACGGGAGGCUG